UUUCUUGAUAGCUUAAAUGGAAAAAGCAUUUGGUUGUUAACUAUAAGAGUAUAGGUUCGAAUCCUAUUCAAGAAGU
Molecule: transfer RNA, 76 nt
Filed under: Periphykon beckeri
Lineage: Eukaryota; Rhodophyta; Florideophyceae; Ceramiales; Rhodomelaceae
Description: tRNA-Asn
Rfam family: tRNA
About the family: Transfer RNA (tRNA) molecules are approximately 80 nucleotides in length. Their secondary structure includes four short double-helical elements and three loops (D, anti-codon, and T loops). Further hydrogen bonds mediate the characteristic L-shaped molecular structure. tRNAs have two regions of fundamental functional importance: the anti-codon, which is responsible for specific mRNA codon recognition, and the 3' end, to which the tRNAs corresponding amino acid is attached (by aminoacyl-tRNA synthetases). tRNAs cope with the degeneracy of the genetic code in two manners: having more than one tRNA (with a specific anti-codon) for a particular amino acid; and 'wobble' base-pairing, i.e. permitting non-standard base-pairing at the 3rd anti-codon position.
Source: RNAcentral